UAAAGCCCUGGCAAGAAUU
RNAcentral lists this transfer RNA (19 nucleotides) under Lepidonotothen squamifrons (grey rockcod). RNAcentral describes it as "partial tRNA-Glu". Lineage: Eukaryota; Metazoa; Chordata; Actinopteri; Perciformes; Nototheniidae. The record is from RNAcentral.